Molecule: non-coding RNA, 24 nt
Filed under: Mus musculus (house mouse)
Lineage: Eukaryota; Metazoa; Chordata; Mammalia; Rodentia; Muridae
Source: RNAcentral
UGCAUAGUUGAGGAAAGUCCACAA